GAGAACGCAGUUCCCCCCACUUCCUCUCCACCUGCCCAUCGCUGCCUGAGCCUGCCCGCCCGGAUCCACAGCUAUUCAGGAAGCAUGAAAACGGCUGAGCACCUCGCCAGGACCGGGCCUGCCCUGCACGGCCUCGUCCAGUACGCUCUCCAUCCGUGCGGACCUUGCUUUCCUGCUACCCUGAGCAAACAGAAGCAGUCACACCACAGCUGACACCCGCUGCAUGCAGACACCAUUCUAGACGCCUGCGGCGUAUCAGGGACACCAAGGAGCCACUCGCUGCCCCGGUGGCACGGAGCUCCAGUGACAGAUCACAGCCGAUGCAGUACUUACUGCGUUCCAGACACAGAGUGGCCCUCUGAGGUCCUACCUCACGGCACCAUUUUACAGACAUGAGUCCCGUUGUUUAUGCAAAUGAGAAAACGGAGGCCCGGAGGGAUUAGAAACCUUGACCAAGGUCACACGGACCGUGAGUAGUGAGGCGAGGAUUUGGACCCAGGCAGUCUGGAGGCCACGCCCUUAAUCAUUGCUCCUUUCCGUGUCAGAGGAACUGAGAUGUACGUGCCCACACUUUGCCCGUCCAUUCACGGUCAUCUGAGCCCGUGUCCUCUGCCUUCCCAUCUGCUACAUGGGAUGACCACCCUGCUCUUUUCUGAGACCCGCCCUCAGAUUUUGUGCUGUCGAUCAUACCCCCCUGCCCCCACCUGUGAGCCUCCCUUUGUCCACGCCCCCUCUUGAUUGGCAGACCUGCUAGAGUCUCUCCCAUCCAUGUCCCGUCCCCACCAUCGGCCACGGCACCAUUUGUGUGCCCCUUUAUUGCAAAAACGAGUCAGAAGAGCUGUCGGGACUCGGGUCUCACAUUCUUCUCCUUCCAGUCUCUCCUGGGCCCACUCUAGUUGGGUUUUGGCCCAAGGUGCCACCAAGCUACCCUUGGGCCGUCUCCAGGGACCUCCUCCACAUGGCAAAACCCAAUGGUCAUUCCUCAGCCCUCGGCCUUGUUGACCCAUCAGCAGCACCUGACCUAUGUGGUCGCCCCCCUCUUCUUGGAACAUUUUACUUGCUUGGUUUCCCAGACACCACAUCACCUUGGCUUCUCCGCCUCCUUCUCGCCUCCCACCUGUUCACCCUGGAGUGCGAAGGCUCAGUCCUUGAGUCUCUGUCCUCCCCGCUUAACACACUGUCCUGAGGGGUCGGCUCCUGCCCCCUGGCUUCAAGGGUCAUCUAUAAAUCAA
Molecule: long non-coding RNA, 1232 nt
Organism: Herpailurus yagouaroundi (jaguarundi)
Lineage: Eukaryota; Metazoa; Chordata; Mammalia; Carnivora; Felidae
Exons: 2
Source: RefSeq, a predicted model, not a curated record